AACAUAACGCUAAUGAUUAUUUUCCCCCCUCAGGGUGAAGUGCAAAGGAUCGGGUUUUUUUCCUAGAAGAGAGUGGGAGAACAGUCUCAAUUUGCUCUAAAUGCUCUGAUCUUCAGCUGGCAAAAUAUAAAAUGGAGUGUGUCACUGAAGUUGCUUUUGAGCGGAGAUGGGGCCCAACCCAAACCCUUGGAUCUAAACGCAAGGUCCAGGUUCAGAUCUGAGUUCACAGCUUUAACCUCGUUCCUGAAGAUGUGGCAUCAGGCCUGCGAGCUCCAGCACACGUCGUGUUUGCAUUUCAAAGCCCAGCUCCAGGGAUUUACUUCUGCCUGUCGGAGUGGUGAAAGUGGUGCUGGCCCUAAGGCUUUGGGGUGCUUCCAGCCUGACAGGAAACCUGGGUGGGAUUGUGGGGUCAAAACGGGGUUGUAGACCCCGGAGAGCUGUGGGUCAGUAAUAUUAAAAUAACACAUGUUGAAGAAAUCUGGGGAACAGCUUUGGACCAGUCUAAACCCUCACAAGGUAGAUGCUGGGCUGUGCUUGACCAAGCAAUGUCUUUUGGGGGGGUUGCAGCCCUUUGGCAUGGCUUGGAAGAGGAUGUGCUUCCAAAGAAGAUUAUUUUUGUGUGUGUGAAAUGUAUAAAAAGUGCACAGCACAAAGUGUUGCCUUUGCUAGAUGUUUGAACUGCUUCUUGUGGAAAAAAAAUGGUGUUUUUUUUUCUUUUUUUUUUUUUCCCUACAGUUUUUGAUAUAUUUCUCCUUUUUUUAUGUAAGCUCCUUAAGCACUGGCAAACAACAUGUACUUUUCUGUACUCGCCGGCACAUUCCCAUUCCAAUGAGCUAGCUGGGCUCUUUCCUUUAUAUCAUUGAGUGAAAUCACACGGAACAAAAAUAAUCAUAUUUAAGCAGUUUGAAGUAUACUUUUUCUGUGGUUUACCUUUACCAUCUCCUAGUAAAAUAUAAUUUCUUCUUUAACAGCAGAUGAAAAAAGCCAUUAUAGCUUUAAAGCAUGAGAUUAUAAAAGACUGCAGCUAGUUUAGAUCUCACAGUUAGAAGUUAAUUCUAAGUCACUGGAAUUGAAAACAUCAGUUUACAACAUUUACUGGCUUGCUAUAAAAAUGUAUUCCCCUGUGUUAUGUUAAACAUGAGAAACUACACCUCAGUGUGUCCAUUAUUUAUAUAUUUAUUCAUAUCUUGCUGCUUCUGAUUCAGCUGUGUAACUGUAUGCAAAACAGAUAAUUACUGGGGAACAGAAUAAUUUGUAUAUGGAGGGGA
Molecule: long non-coding RNA, 1268 nt
Organism: Cygnus olor (mute swan)
Lineage: Eukaryota; Metazoa; Chordata; Aves; Anseriformes; Anatidae
Exons: 3
Source: RefSeq, a predicted model, not a curated record